CAGCCGUAAACUAUGCGCGUUAGGUGUAUCGGUGACCACGAGUUACCGAGGUGCCGAAGGGAAACCGGUAGAAACGUGCCGCCUGGGAAGUACGGUCGCAAGGCUAGAAACUUAAAGGAAUUGGGCGGGGGAGCACCACAACAGGUGGAGCCUGCGGUUUAAUUGGACUCAACGCCGGGAAGCUCACCGGAUAAGACAGCGGAAUGAUUGCCGGGCUGAAGACUCUGCAUGACUAGCUGAGAGGAGGUGCAUGGCGUAGACGUCU
Molecule: ribosomal RNA, 265 nt
Filed under: uncultured archaeon
Lineage: Archaea
Description: partial 16S ribosomal RNA
Rfam family: Archaeal small subunit ribosomal RNA
Source: RNAcentral